RNAcentral lists this unclassified non-coding RNA (2075 nucleotides) under Hevea brasiliensis (rubber tree). The record is from RNAcentral. Lineage: Eukaryota; Viridiplantae; Streptophyta; Magnoliopsida; Malpighiales; Euphorbiaceae.
UAAAGGAUGAAUCAUCUCCUGGUCUCACUCUCGUCUCCGACUCUCCCAACGAUACGAAGUACGAACAUAACAAUGCACUUCUAAUUUUACUGCCCUCUCGAGAACUCGUCUCGUUCAACUCUUAAUUCCCCUCACACUGUUAAAACCACAUCGUUUGAGAGAAUGUUGUGUUUCUUGUCUUCAAUAUUCAUCUCUUGCCCUCCACCUGUUUGAUAAAAUGCGUUGAGAAAUGUGGCCCUUCCCUUUAUCUCGAAUUUGAUCCGUAUCAACUCUAUCACAAUACCCAAUGCGCCACUUGAUGUAUUGCUUUACUUUUUAUUAGUUAUCGUGUGGUUCACGGCUUAAAGAAACUGCAUCCUUUGCUGUUUUUGCUGUUGGUGCAAGGUAGUAUUGAGAAAAGGAAAAGGCAGUGAUGGGCAUGAAAACUUUGUUUAAAUGGUCGAAACAAAUCAAGCCUUCUCAAGUUGAGCAGCUAAUACGCGCGGAAAAGGACGUACACAAAGCUUUACUCAUAUUUGACUCUGCCACGGCUGAGUACUGUAAUGGUUUUAGGCAUGAUCAUAAAACAUUUGGCGUCAUGAUCUCUAAAUUGCUCUCUGCGAACCAGUUUAGACCAGCUGAGGAGAUGCUUAAUAGAAUGAAGGAGGAAAAAUGUAAUAUCACGGAAGAUAUAUUCCUGUCUGUUUGCAGAGCUUAUGGCAGGGUGCACAAGCCAUUAGAUGCCAUCAGGGUUUUCCGUAAGAUGAAUGAAUUUGAAUGCAAACCCACACAGAAGUCUUAUAUUACUGUGUUUGCUAUUCUUGUGGAAGAGAACCAGUUAAAGGUUGCAAUGAGGUUUUACCGUUAUAUGAGAGAAAUUGGUAUUUCACCUAGUGUUGUAUCUCUUAAUGUUCUUAUUAAAGCCCUUUGCAAGGACGGUGAAACCAUUGAUGCUGCUUUAAGGAUAUUUCGUGAGAUGCCUAAUCGUGGGUGUAAUCCUGAUUCAUAUACAUAUGGGACGUUGAUCAAUGGUUUGUGUCGACUGGGGAAGAUUUAUGAAGCAAAGGAGUUAUUUAGAGAGAUGGAAACAAAAGGUUGUUCUCCAUCUGUUGUUACAUAUACUUCUUUGAUACAUGGCUUGUCUCAGUCAACUAAUAUAGACGAAGCUGUCGGGUUGCUUGAAGAUAUGAAGGCCAAGGGCAUUGAGCCAAAUGUGUUUACUUACAGUUCUUUAAUGGAUGGUCUUUGCAAAAAUCGGCGAUCUUCACAAGCCAUGGAGCUACUGGAGAUGAUGGUUAGCAGGCGCUGUAAGCCUAAUAUGAUAACUUAUAGUACCUUAAUUGAUGGCCUCUGUAAAGAAGGGAAGCUUCUUGAAGCUGUGGAGAUGCUUGACCGGAUGAAGCUUCAGGGGAUAAACCCAGAUGCAGGGCUGUAUGGGAAGAUCAUAAAUGGGUCGUGUGAAAAUUCCAAGUUUCUGGAGGCUGCAAACUUCCUUGAAGAGAUGGUACUUGGGGGGAUCUCACCAAACAGAUUAACAUGGAGCCUUCAUGUUAGGAUUAAUAAUAUAGUAGUCCAAGGUCUCUCUACAGAUGGCCAUCAAAAUCGAGCCUUCCAAUUGUAUUUAAGCAUGCGUACAAGAGGCAUUUCAAUUGAAUAUGCGACAUUCAAUUCUCUUAUAAAAUGUUUUUGCAAUAAAAGAGACCUGCACAAUUCUGUUCGCGUUGUUGAUGAGAUGGCUCUGGAUGGAUUUGUUCCUGACUGGCCUGUAUGGGAAGAUCAUAAAUGGGUCGUGUGAAAAUUCCAAGUUUCUGGAGGCUGCAAACUUCCUUGAAGAGAUGGUACUUGGGGGGAUCUCACCAAACAGAUUAACAUGGAGCCUUCAUGUUAGGAUUAAUAAUAUAGUAGUCCAAGGUCUCUCUACAGAUGGCCAUCAAAAUCGAGCCUUCCAAUUGUAUUUAAGCAUGCGUACAAGAGGCAUUUCAAUUGAAUAUGCGACAUUCAAUUCUCUUAUAAAAUGUUUUUGCAAUAAAAGAGACCUGCACAAUUCUGUUCGCGUUGUUGAUGAGAUGGCUCUGGAUGGAUUUGUUCCUGACUGG